Molecule: transfer RNA, 72 nt
Filed under: Bos taurus (domestic cattle)
Lineage: Eukaryota; Metazoa; Chordata; Mammalia; Artiodactyla; Bovidae
Also listed under: 3 other names
Rfam family: tRNA
About the family: Transfer RNA (tRNA) molecules are approximately 80 nucleotides in length. Their secondary structure includes four short double-helical elements and three loops (D, anti-codon, and T loops).
Source: Rfam by way of RNAcentral
UCCCUGAUGGUCCAGAGGUGGGGACGUGGCGCUUUCACUGCCAUGGCCUGGGUUCAAUCCCUGGUUGGGAAC